Molecule: small RNA, 2901 nt
Filed under: Mytilus galloprovincialis (Mediterranean mussel)
Lineage: Eukaryota; Metazoa; Mollusca; Bivalvia; Mytilida; Mytilidae
Source: RNAcentral
AUGUGUGUUGAGUUACUUAUUCAAGAUAUACUAGUCAAGUUUGUAAUGGAUACUGGAGCUACGUUAACUCUUGUUUCUACCCAAGUGUACGAUCUUAUUCCUGACUUGUAUAGGCCACAUCUGAAGGCUACUAAGUCACAAAUUACGUCCGCAUGUGGAAACUUUUUGAACCUUAGAGGUAAAGGCAAUUUUAAACUAGAUUUUGGUACAGAAAGGUUUACUUCACAGGCCGUAGUAACCGAGCUACAAGUUGAUGGCAUUCUUGGUUUAGACUUCAUAAAGAAAAACAAGUGUCUGGUUGAUGUGUCUGAAAACAUAUUUCACAUCGAUAACCUUAGUGUUACCUUAAUUUUUCAAGGUACAUUAGGAUGUUUCAGGGUGGUUUCUACAGAAUCUGUUACUGAUCCAGCUCGAUCAGAGAUAGUAGUUUCUGGGAAAGUUUGCUUGUCAGAAGGUCAGACAUUGCCAACAAAUGAUGUUUUAGUAAAAGCUUGUGAAAAUAAAGGGAAAGAUUACAUUUUGACGGCACGUUCCUUAGUCAAAUCAAAUGACAGUAUACCAGUCAGACUCAUGAAUGUAGAGAACGAGACUAAGACUAUAUUUCCGGGCACAACUAUUGCACAGAUGUGUGAAAUCAGCCACGUAGCAAAAUCUUUGCCCUCUCAGAAUGACGGACAAAAUAAAAAGGCGUUGAGGUCAGAUUUGCAUGAUCUUUUGAACAGAACAUCUGACAAAUUAUCAAGGUCAGAAAAACAGAAGGUCAACAGUUUAGUGCAAGAAUAUGAAAGACUGUUUGCUGAAACAGAUAUAGACCUAGGUAAGACUAGUUUAGUCAAACAUGAAAUAGAAACUGGUAAUGCUAGGCCUUUCAAAGAACCUCCUCGCCGCACACCUUUUCAUUUAUCAAAAGUUGUUUAUGACAAUAUAGAUAAAAUGUUAGAAAAUAAAGUUAUUGAGCCUUCACACAGCCCAUGGGCUGCAGCUAUAGUUUAAGUCAAGAAAAAGGACGACACGUACCGUUUUUGUGUGGAUUACAGGAAACAGAAUAACGUGACUAUCAAUAAAGACGCAUAUCCACUGCCUAGAAUAGAUGCAUCACUUGACCAUCUUGUAGGCACAGCUGGUUUAGUACUCUUGACUGUUGUUCUGGAUAUUGGCAAGUUGAACUGGCCGAGAAAGAUAAACAUAAGACGGCAUUUGCGACUAGAAAAGGGUUGUUUCAGUUCAAGGUAAUGCCGUUUGGGUUGUGCUGUGCUGCACAAACGUUUGAGCGUUUAAUGGAAACUGUUCUAGCAGGGCUCCAAUGGGAGGUAUGUCUAGUAUAUCUAGAUGACAUUAUUGUUUUUGGCAAGACAUUAGAUGAUAUUUUGGUUAAUUUAAGGACAGUUUUUGACAAAUUAAAAUCAGCAGGCUUGAAGGUAAAGGCUUAAAAGUGUAACUUAUGUGUUACCAUGGUUCGUUAUUUAGGGCAUAUAAUUUCAAAAGAUGGCAUAGCCACUGAUCCUGAGAAAAUUAAAGUUGUACAAAAUUGGCCUGUUCCAACAAACCCUACUGAAGUUCGUUCAUUUUUAGGUCUGUGCAGCUAUUAUAGAAAGUUCAUCAAAAACUUUGCCUCAAUUGCUAAAUGUCUGCAUGUUCUGACUGAAAAAAGGCAAAAGGUUUGAAUGGAUAUCUGAUUGUCAGCAUGCAUUUGAUCUACUUAAAAUAAAGUUGACAAACGCCCCAAUAUUAACACAUCCUGAUUUUAACAAAGAGUUCAUCUUAGAUACAGAUGCUAGUAAUGUCGCAUUAGGGGGUGUCUUAUCACAAAGUCAUGAAGACGGUAAGGAAAAGGUUAUAGCAUAUGCCAGUCGCUCAAUGUCUAAAUCCGAGCGUAGAUAUUGCGUGACUCGCAAAGAGUUGCUAGCUGUGGUAUACUUUGUGAAGUAUUUUAAACCAUAUUUAUAUGGGAGAAAAUUUACGAUCAGAACGAAUCAUAGCUCACUUCGGUGGUUGUUGAAUUUCAAAAACCCAGAAGGCCAAGUGGCUAGAUGGAUUGAGACUUUGAGUGCUUAUGAUAUUCACAUCAACACCGACCAGGUAACCAACACAGGAAUGCUGACGCACUUAGUCGUAUUCCCUGUAAACAAUGUGGGUAUACGUUAGACUUGCAGUCAAAAACGAGCAGUGAUUGUCACAAGACUGAAGAAAGUCAGGUUAAAAUAGUAACUAGUCAGGUGCCUGACCAUGAUACAGAUUGGACGUUGACAGAUAAACAAUCAAACGACCCAGACCUUAAAUUAGUUAAACAGUGGCUGACGGAUUGUCGAGGGCCACAAUACAAUGAGGUUUCUGGUAAAGGUUUUUUUUAUAAGGUCAUUAUGGAAUCAGUUUAAUAGUUUAGAACUUCAAGAUGAUUUGGUAUUCAGACAUUUUUAUAACAAUGAACGGAAAAUUGUGAAAUUGCAACCUAUAAUCCCGUUGUCUGGAAGAAAACAAGUUUUACACUUCUGUCAUGAUGCAAAGUAUGCAGGUCAAUUAGGUAUGCGUAAGACUUUUGAGAAAAUACGCCAGUCUUAUUAUUGGCCAGGUUUGCAAGCUGACGUUAGAGCAUAUGUCGCUGGUUGCGAUACGUGUGCUAUAAGGAAAACCCCAACGAAAAAGAAACGUGCUCCAAUGGCCAUAGUAGAGACAAGUAGUCCUAUCGAAAGGUUAGCUACUGAUAUUCUUGGGGAACUUCCGGAAACUGAAAAAGGCAAUCGGUAUAUCUUAGUUGUAUCAGACUACUAUACUAAAUGGACAGAAUCGUUCCCUAUGCCCAAUAUGGAAGCAAGCACUGUUGUCAAAAUAAUUGUAGAGGAUGUAAUAGCUCGAUUCAGUGUCCCGUCCUGGAUUCACUCUGAGCGAUUCGGCUUCUUGUAA